This 606-nucleotide ribosomal RNA is filed under the name uncultured prokaryote. RNAcentral describes it as "bacterial SSU rRNA". It matches the Rfam family "Bacterial small subunit ribosomal RNA", at positions 28 to 653 of the family's 1533-position model. The record is from RNAcentral.
GAUGAACGCUGACAGAAUGCUUAACACAUGCAAGUCGAUUCGAUUUACCUUCGGGUAUUGAGGAUGGCGGACGGGUGAGUAACGCGUAAGGAACUUGCCUCUUGGUCUGGGACAACUGUUGGAAACGACAGCUAAUACCGGAUAUUAUGAGAUUCUCGCAUGGGAAACUUAUGAAAGCUAUAUGCGCCAAGAGAGAGCCUUGCGUUCCAUUAGCUAGUUGGUGGGGUAACGGCCCACCAAGGCGACGAUGGAUAGCCGGCCUGAGAGGGUGAACGGCCACAAGGGGACUGAGACACGGCCCUUACUCCUACGGGAGGCAGCAGUGGGGAAUAUUGGNNNNNGGGCCACAAGCCUGAUCCAGCAAUUCUGUGUGCACGAUGAAGGUCUUCGGAUUGUAAAGUGCUUUCAGUUGGGAAGAAGAAAGUGACGGUACCAACAGAAGAAGCGACGGCUAAAUACGUGCCAGCAGCCGCGGUAAUACGUAUGUCGCAAGCGUUAUCCGNAUUUAUUGGGCGUAAAGCGCGUCUAGGCNGAAAAUAAGUCUGANGUUAAAAUGCGGGGCUCAACUCCGUAUUGCGUUGGAAACUGUUUUUCUAGAGUACUGNA